This is a long non-coding RNA of Passer domesticus (house sparrow), 734 nucleotides long. RefSeq lists it as uncharacterized. The transcript has 2 exons. NCBI's taxonomy places the organism in Eukaryota, Metazoa, Chordata, Aves, Passeriformes, Passeridae. The record is from RefSeq and is a predicted model, not a curated record.
CCUCACAGUGCCCUCUGUGUCGUCAUAUAAAAUAUGACAUCAGAAGGAAUCUUGGAAUUAAAUUCUCUUGCCUGACCCUUGAAGGGUUUCUGAAGCCCUGCUUCCUCUUCUUUUAAUAAACCAAAAGCAGCCCCUGGAUCACUGAGCCCCUGGAUCCCUGCUUUGAAUUAGUGACAGGCCUUGGCUGCCCCACAGGCCUUCUUCCAGGACACUGGCAGGACUUACCAUCCAGAGUACAGAGGGCAAAGAGACCUGAGCCACUAUUCUCACUGGAGCCUGAAAUCUGAUUUCAUUUACUGCUGAAAAAACAGCAGGGGCAACUGCUGGGCUGGAGACCCCAGGCUGCUGAUCUCUCACCUCGGGCAAUGCUACCAAUCAGAUGAGUGGAGACAUUCUUAUUGUGAAUCCGCCCAGACGUCUGGUGUAGAAUCACAUCUCGAACAGGGGCCUCACUGAGAAAAAGAGAAAGACAACAGGGAAAAGUUAGGGAACCACACCUGGGACUGUCUCAGAGGAAUUCCAGGAGCGGUGUAUUCCAACGCUCUACAAAUCCAGACAGUGACAGAGUUUGUGAAGAGGUUGAGCCCUUUAACAGUAAAGGAAGAAAAUGCAUGCCAUCCCAGGUAUUAAAGAAAUAUACUGAUUUUUAAAAACAGAAACCCAGAAUGAUUUCAUGCAUUAAAAAAAAAAAAAAGAGCUCAAAUAAAGAAAAAUCAGUAAGGCCUGUAUUCCAA